RNAcentral lists this ribosomal RNA (460 nucleotides) under uncultured bacterium. RNAcentral describes it as "bacterial SSU rRNA". It matches the Rfam family "Bacterial small subunit ribosomal RNA", at positions 28 to 507 of the family's 1533-position model. The record is from RNAcentral.
GACGAACGCUGGCGGCGUGCCUAACACAUGCAAGUCGAGCGAUGAAACUCCUUCGGGAGUGGAUUAGCGGCGGACGGGUGAGUAACACGUGAGUAACCUGCCUCAAAGUGGGGGAUAGCCUUCCGAAAGGAAGAUUAAUACCGCAUAAUAUCAGAUGAUCGCAUGGUCGACUGAUUAAAGAUUUAUUGCUUUGAGAUGGACUCGCGGCGCAUUAGCUAGUUGGUGAGGUAACGGCUCACCAAGGCAACGAUGCGUAGCCGACCUGAGAGGGUGAUCGGCCACAUUGGGACUGAGACACGGCCCAGACUCCUACGGGAGGCAGCAGUGGGGAAUAUUGCGCAAUGGGCGAAAGCCUGACGCAGCAACGCCGCGUGAGUGAUGAAGGUCUUCGGAUUGUAAAGCUCUGUCUUCAGGGACGAUAAUGACGGUACCUGAGGAGGAAGCCACGGCUAACUACGUG